This 681-nucleotide ribosomal RNA is filed under the name Mucor sp. KACC 46073. Its description in RNAcentral is "eukaryotic LSU rRNA". It matches the Rfam family "Eukaryotic large subunit ribosomal RNA", at positions 62 to 648 of the family's 3401-position model. The record is from RNAcentral. Lineage: Eukaryota; Fungi; Mucoromycota; Mucoromycetes; Mucorales; Mucoraceae.
AAAAUAACAAUGAUUUCCCUAGUAACGGCGAGUGAAGAGGAAAGAGCUCAAAGUUGGAACCUGUUUGGCUUARCUAAACCGGAUUGUAAACUGUAGAAGUGUUUUCCAGACACGCCUGGUAAAAAAGUCCUUUGGAACAGGGCAUCAUAGAGGGUGAGAAUCCCGUCAUUGGCCAGAGCUGUUGUCUUUUGUGAUACAUUUUCAAAGAGUCAGGUUGUUUGGGAAUGCAGCCUAAAUUGGGUGGUAAAUCUCACCUAAAGCUAAAUAUUUGCGAGAGACCGAUAGCGAACAAGUACCGUGAGGGAAAGAUGAAAAGAACUUUGAAAAGAGAGUUAAACAGUAUGUGAAAUUGUUAAAAGGGAACCGUUUGGAGCCAGACUGGCUUGAUCGUAAUCACUCUAGGCUUUGGCCUGGAUGCACUUGCGGUCUAUGCCGGCCAACGACAGUUUUGUUUGAGGGAAAAAAUUACAUUGAAUGUGGCCCCUCGGGGUGUUAUAGCUUUGUAAAAAAUACCUUGGACGGGACUGAGGAACGCAGCGAAUGCCUUUAGGCGAGAUUGCUGGGUGCUUGCGCUGAUACAUGCUAGAAUUUCUGCUUUGGGUGGUGCUAGUGUGUAAAGGAGUAACCCGCUUAGUAUAUUUUUUAUUCGCUUAGGUUGUUGGCUUAAUGACUCUAAAUGAC